This 579-nucleotide unclassified non-coding RNA is filed under the name Hevea brasiliensis (rubber tree). The record is from RNAcentral. Lineage: Eukaryota; Viridiplantae; Streptophyta; Magnoliopsida; Malpighiales; Euphorbiaceae.
AUGUGCCCACUGAUUCCUUUUUUACCCAAAUGUCCAUUAAAUUGCCAUGUUAACUGUCGCUUCAAAAGAGUAGCAUUUCUCUGGAAUUUGCUCCAUCGUAGCUCGAGGGCUUUAUGGCAUGCACCUAAUUUCUCACGAAAUGCUUUGUAGGUUUGCUGCUUUCUUAAAAUUUUGCGUUCUUUUUUGUUGUACAACAUGCGGAGGUCCUCAAUGGACUCUGGAUGUCUCCGACUCUCUUGCUGAAGUCUUUGACUUAGCCUAGCUAAAUGGGCACUUAAUUGCUCCGGAGUGCUUCCAUCACAGCCACCUAAAGCCUCAAUUUCACUUUCAGGACAGAUGAUUGAAGCUUUUUUGUAGCUCUCCCUACGGUUGUGCUCAAGUUCCUGAUACUCUGCUUCCGCUCCAGUGAGUUGGGAAAGAACUUUUGUACUCAUUACACCUUCAUAGUGAUUCUUCUUCAGUUCUGCAUCUUUUAAAUCUUUAUCAAUCAUCAUUAGCUCACGUUCUGCUUCCUCCAAUGCACCAAUUUCCACUUUUGCUGAUUCACACAAAUUUUCAAAGGAAAUUUUGACCUCAUUA